Molecule: non-coding RNA, 75 nt
Organism: Haemonchus contortus (barber pole worm)
Lineage: Eukaryota; Metazoa; Nematoda; Chromadorea; Rhabditida; Trichostrongylidae
Source: Rfam
GGGCCAAAUUCGAAAUAGAGUGGAUUAGUAGGAUCAUCUGACCUUACUAAACUACACUACUUUGAGUUUGUGCCC